CUGUUACCCAGGCUGGAGUGCAAUGGUGCAGUCUCGGCUCACCUCAACUUCAGCCUCCUGGGUUCAAGCGAUUCUCCUGCCUCAGCCUCCCAAGUAGCUGGGAUUACAGGCAUGUGCCACCACACCUGGCUAAUUUUUUCUUUUUUUGUUUUGAGAUGGAGUUUCGCUGUUGUUGCCCAGGCUGGAGUGCAAUGGCACAAUCUCGGCUCACCACAAUCUUUGCCUUUCGGGUUCAAGGGAUUCUCCUUUCUCAGCCUCCCGAGUAGCUGGGAUUACAGGCAUGUGCCACCACACCCGGCUAAUGUUGUAUUUUUAGUAGAGACGGGGUUUCUCUAUGUUGGUUAGGCUGGUCUCAAACUCCUGACCUCAGGUGAUCUACCUUCCUCAGCCUCUUAAAGUGCUGGGAUCACAGGCAUGAGCCAUUGCUCCUGGCCUAAUUUUUGUAUUUUUAGUAGAGAGGGGGUUUCACUAUAUUGGCCAGGCUGGUCUCGAAUUCCUGACCUCAAGUUAUCUGCCUGCCUCGGCCUCCCAAAGUGUUGGAAUUACAGGCGUGAACCACCAUGCCUGGCCAGCUCUAUUUCUUUAAGCCUACAUGUUUUGCACUUGUUAAAAGUAUUUGAAUAUACAAUUACUCAGUUUCCCUUGUUUAUGCUUGAAUUUUGUAUAAUCUUAAAUAUUUUUUCCAAUCUAAGCUUUAUUUUAUCCCGUUUCUUCUAUAUUUGUAUAACUUUAGGUGGCUAUCUUCAUUGAAAAUUUUUUCUCAAAAGCCUUAAAAUAGAACAUAGUUCUUGGCAGCAAUUUAAAGUUAUUUGAGGAGAAGGGGAGACUUACAAUGAUGCUUCAAUUGAAGCAAACUAAAAAGUAAUGAAGCAAGACAGAGGAAAAAGCAGUAUUCACUUGAGCACAUCCCAAAAGAAUAACAUUUCAAAUGUAACUAGAAAAAAGAUUGCUGAAGUUUGCAAUACAGAAAUAAUUAUUAAGAUAGCUUUAAAGCCCUGCUCAGCUUUUGAAUGUUGGGAAUUGACCCAGAGGUGGCUGUAAACUAAGAUGGUUCCUUCAGUAAUGACCAUUUUUUCUUUUUCAAGAUGAUGAUUAUUCCCCACCUUCUAGGACACAAAGACCAACGAGCCACCACAGCCACCAGUCCCAGAACCCGCUAAUGCUGGGGAACGGAAAAUGAGGGAGUUCAACUCUGGCCCUCACAAUCCAGUGGAGGAGACGAAACUCAUCUGCCUCUGUCCCUCUGGGCACGCCUCAUGCCAGGUGCAUCUGUGGACAGGGGCCAUGCUCCUGGGCUUCCAAAGUUGGAGAAAGCUGCCAGGCUCAGGUCUGAAGGCCAGAAUUCUACAGUAAGUCCUACUGAGUCAAGGUGGGAGCAGGGUCGGUGGCUUCUGAGGCUCUGCGGGAGAAUCCGUUUCCUGGUCGUGGAGGUGGCCUGCACUCCUCAGCUUGUGCUGCCAGUCUCGAAUGACUGGAGUUUCCUGCUUCUGUCACUACACCUCCCACCCUCUCCAUCACCUGCUUUGCUCUUAUAAGGAUCCGGGUGGAGUCUUGCUCUGUCAUCCAGGCUGGCAGUGGCGUGGUCUUGGCUCACUGCAACGUCUGCCUCCUGGGUUCAAGUGA
Long non-coding RNA from Homo sapiens (human), 1623 nucleotides. NCBI's taxonomy places the organism in Eukaryota, Metazoa, Chordata, Mammalia, Primates, Hominidae. The record is from Ensembl.